Molecule: non-coding RNA, 3816 nt
Organism: Microcebus murinus (gray mouse lemur)
Lineage: Eukaryota; Metazoa; Chordata; Mammalia; Primates; Cheirogaleidae
Source: RefSeq, a predicted model, not a curated record
CCCAACCCCGCCUACCCACUGCGGGGGACCCCAGACUGAGUUAGGCUGCAGAUUAACGCCUGAAUCCAGGUUGUGCGAAGCCCACCAUUCUUCUAUAUCCUUGGUGAUCUAGAAGAUUUAUAUCUUAAGUUUCAAGAGCCGUUUUUCCUCUCAUUUAACGUCUUCCUGCUUAUUUAAUCUUUCUAACACCGUAGACCAAAGUCGGUGUCUUUGAAGCUGUUAAAUCAGGCAAACUCCUGGGCACUCCAACUGCGGGGUCCUCACGGUCUUCUCUGCUGUCUCUGGUUUGGUCCGAGGGGACCCGGCGCCGAAUCACUGACCUGCCCAGGUGUCGAGAAAAUGAUCCACAGUCUAUUUCUCAUAAACUGUUCUGGUGACAUAUUUCUAGAGAAGCACUGGAAGAGUGUUGUGAGCCAGUCUGUCUGUGAUUAUUUCUUUGAAGCUCAGGAAAAAGCUGCUGAUGUUGAGAAUGUACCACCUGUCAUUUCAACACCUCACCACUACCUCAUCAGUAUCUACCGUGAUAAGCUCUUCUUUGUGUCUGUCAUACAGACUGAGGUACCACCUCUCUUUGUAAUUGAGUUCCUACAUCGAGUUGCUGACACUUUUCAGGACUACUUUGGUGAGUGUUCAGAGGCUGCAAUUAAGGAUAAUGUGGUCAUAGUAUAUGAACUCUUAGAAGAAAUGUUAGACAAUGGAUUUCCACUGGCUACUGAAUCUAACAUUUUGAAAGAAUUGAUUAAACCACCAACAAUUCUACGUUCUGUUGUCAACUCUAUUACAGGCAGUAGUAAUGUUGGGGAUACACUCCCCACUGGGCAGCUGUCCAACAUCCCAUGGCGUCGGGCAGGGGUAAAAUACACAAACAAUGAAGCCUAUUUUGAUGUCGUUGAAGAAAUAGAUGCAAUUAUAGAUAAAUCAGGAUCUACAGUCUUUGCCGAAAUUCAGGGAGUCAUUGAUGCUUGCAUUAAGCUAUCUGGAAUGCCUGAUCUCUCCCUUUCCUUCAUGAACCCCAGGCUUCUGGAUGAUGUCAGCUUCCACCCCUGCAUCCGGUUCAAGCGCUGGGAAUCUGAAAGAGUUUUGUCAUUUAUUCCUCCAGAUGGAAAUUUCCGACUCAUAUCAUACCGUGUCAGCUCACAAAAUCUAGUGGCAAUACCAGUAUAUGUAAAACAUAAUAUCAGCUUUAAGGAGAACAGUUCUUGUGGCAGAUUUGAUAUAACAAUUGGACCAAAACAGAACAUGGGAAAAACUAUUGAAGGAAUUACAGUGACAGUUCACAUGCCAAAAGUUGUGCUGAAUAUGAACCUGACACCAACACAAGGCAGCUAUACAUUUGAUCCAGUCACCAAGGUACAGCCACUUCACAUCAAGAGUACUAACAUGGGAUGUAGGGAAAAUUACUCCUCAGAAGCUCCCAAGUCUUAAAGGACUGGUAAAUUUACAGUCUGGAGCACCCAAACCAGAAGAGAAUCCAAGCCUCAACAUACAGUUCAAGAUCCAGCAGCUUGCUAUUUCAGGCUUAAAAGUAAACCGCUUGGACAUGUAUGGGGAGAAAUAUAAGCCAUUUAAAGGAGUCAAAUAUGUCACAAAAGCUGGAAAGUUCCAAGUGAGGACAUGAGAAGAGGCCAAAAUUUCUCAAGAUCAGUUUGUUUUCCAAGUGUCAUUACAAUUUAUUACUAUUAGGUACCAAGUGGGUGGGAAUACGUAUUCUAGUUAAAGCAUUUGUGUCGAGCUACAUACCGCUAACAAAGUAGCUUAGUAAUUAAUGUAGGGUUCUUAAGGAGCUUUAAGCUAAGGAAACUUUUUUAAUGACUUAGCUUAUUUUGUAUCUUUUCACUUAGGAAGAUUUUGGAGGUAAUUUCUUCCACAGUGGGGUACCACCUGGAUGCUGUACAUUGUAACAGGAAAGGCAGAAACUACAGUGAUAACCUCUCCUAAAACAAGUUAACUGGUCUCAUCCAGCAGGAGCGAUCUUAAUCUGUGACAUGAUGUGUCAGGUGCAGUCAAAUGUCACACCUUCUGAUCUUAGCCAUCCCAAAUCAGUGUCUCUCCCAACAGAGGGAAUCCUUCCCCACCGCCCAAGAAGUUUACAAAAAACUGCCUCUUCAAGUGUUUGCCUUAUUCAGCUUUUCACUUGUGCCAUUAAGCAAGCACUGUAGCAAAAGCCACAUCCACAUGGCCCUGGCAGGGAGCACUGCUGCUCCAUGCUCCAUUCUCACUGUACUUGGUAUUGUAUUUUUUAUAAAUAAGAUUUUUAUGUAAAGCUCAGAUUUUGAUUUACAGGGACCUUGCUGCAGUAAAUAACAUCUCAAUUUGUGCCACUGGUUCAGCUGUUAGCAUAAUAAAUAUCAUUUGUAUCAAAGGGGCAAAUGCUUUAUUAAGGUAGUAAAAGGGAACACUACUUCUGCUUUUAGGAAGUUUUUGCAAGCACAAGCAUUUGCACUUUUAAGCAAAUUAAAGUAGUAAAAGAGAAACUUAAGUGAAACCUUUGUCAUCUUCAUGUUUUAUAAAGCUUAUCUAAUACCACUUAAACCAUAGUCAGCCUAAAUGCUUCAUGCCCCAGUUCAGCAAAAGGAGGAAAACGUGCCUGCCUCACUAUGCUCAGUCUUUAUUAAUCUUUUAUCUUUUUGUUGCUGUUCUGAGGGGGUUGAAUUUGCCUGCAUCCCUCUUUAUACUGUGUGCUUCCCAAGGGUAGAGUCAUAGAUUCCUUCCUAAACUAUUGUCAUAAUUAUUACUUGAGUAGUUAAAUGUCUCUACUGACAAAAUACAUGGAAGUGCAUUAUAAUGAGGCAGAAACAAAACUCUCAGUAACAUUGAUGAUACCACACUGAUCAUCAUGGUUAGAAAGUCAGUCAAGAGUUGUAUCAUUUCACUCAACUUCAUUGUGUCAUUUCAUUCAACUUCACAGGCUUGGGAGUCCUGGCCUGGUUAUUUUGCCUCAUUAGACAUGAAGAAAUGGAGAAAGGCUGAAGGUUAAGAUAUAAGUGCUUGUUCUUCACAUUUCCUUCUUGUUCUUACGUAUACUAUUAGUUUUCUUCUCCUUGUGGCUCCAUUAUUUUCUUUCAAUCUUCUCAGCUUGUAGCUGACUUGCCCUAUUACGCUAAAGACAGCCCUUACACUCGAUCCUGUUUGUGCUGUCAAGGACUAGGUGGUUGGUGCCGGUAGAGGGAGCCCACUGCACAGCGGCAUUCUUACCUUUGCCUGCCCAGGGUGCAGCCUGCUUCUCAUCUCCUAAGAAAGGCCACUUUUGCAACUUCUGAAUUUCUAGAGUAACCAAUCUCAUAUUAGCAACUAAAGUCAAAAUGUUGCCAAAUAUUUAUUCCUUUUGCCUAAGGUUGGUUUUACCCAGUGCAAUUGCUUUUCAUUGUUAAUGUCUUACUCUUCAGAGUUCUUACCUCAAAAGAGCAGCAAGAACAUUUGCUUUUCUUUCUGUAUAAUCCCUAAUCCCAACAAUCCAUCCCUGGACUGUCAAGUUUCCUCCUAUGCUGUCUUCUCUUCCAUUCAAGCAGAAUAUAUGCUAAGAGACCCUUGCCUCUAGCAGUUUCUGCUAUAUCCAAGUAGACUGUUUCCUUUCACAAUUAAAUUAUUAUAUUUAUUAAUUUGAUAGAAUUCAGUAAACCAUUUCUCUAGCUCUGGCUAUACUAUCAAUAAAAAGAUGAAAACAACAAAUCGUUUUUGUUUUUGUUUUUAAGCCUCACUGUUGUUCAAACAUUCUGAGAUGUGUGAGGCUCAGUGUCAGAGCAGGCUGAACAUGACCAGAUUUUUUCUGUAUCAUCACACAAGCUUUGACAGUUGCUCACCUAACCUCAAUAUCUU